GUGGGGAAUCUUCCGCAAUGGACGAAAGUCUGACGGAGCAACGCCGCGUGAGUCAAGAAGGUUUUCGGAUCGUAAAGCUCUUUCGUUAGGGACGAACGUGCUCUUUGUGAAUAAUGAGGAGUAAUGACGGUACCUAAAUAAGAAGCCACGGCUAACUACGUGCCAGCAGCCGCGGUAAUACGUAGGUGGCAAGCGUUGUCCGGAAUUAUUGGGCGUAAAGCGCGCGCAGGCGGGAUAUCAAGUCUGUCUUAAAAGUGCGAGGCUCAACCUCGUGAGGGGACAGAAACUGGUAUUCUUGAGUGUCGGAGAGGAAAGUGGAAUUCCAAGUGUAGCGGUGAAAUGCGUAGAGAUUUGGAAGAACACCAGUGGCGAAGGCGACUUUCUGGACGAUGUCUGACGCUGAGGCGCGAAAGCUAGGGGAGCGAACGGGAUUAGAAACCCCGGUAGUCC
Molecule: ribosomal RNA, 450 nt
Filed under: uncultured bacterium
Lineage: Bacteria
Description: partial 16S ribosomal RNA
Rfam family: Bacterial small subunit ribosomal RNA
Source: RNAcentral